UACAUGGGGUGCAAACGUUGCUCGGAAUCAUUGGGGCGUAAAGCGCGCGUAGGCGGUUACUUAAGUCGAAUGUGAAAGACCCUCGGCUUAACCGAGGAAGUGCAUCCGGAAACUGAGUAGCUAGAGUACGAAAGAGGGUCGCGGAAUUCCCGGUGUAGAGGUGAAAUUCGUAGAUAUCGGGAGGAACACCGGUGGCGAAGGCGGCGACCUGGGUCGAGACUGACGGCUGAGGCGCGAAAGCGUGGGGAGCAAACAGG
Molecule: ribosomal RNA, 257 nt
Filed under: uncultured bacterium
Lineage: Bacteria
Description: partial 16S ribosomal RNA
Rfam family: Bacterial small subunit ribosomal RNA
Source: RNAcentral